This 1915-nucleotide unclassified non-coding RNA is filed under the name Hevea brasiliensis (rubber tree). The record is from RNAcentral. Lineage: Eukaryota; Viridiplantae; Streptophyta; Magnoliopsida; Malpighiales; Euphorbiaceae.
UUUACUCAUGGAUAGGAUUUACCAACAAUAAAGUUGCAUUCCCGCUCUAAUGGAGACAAAAUACAUAAACACUACAUAAGUGCAUUCCUAUAUCAUGAGUAAAUUCAUUUCCUAUUUCUUGUUUAUUCUAUAGAUUGUAUGCAACUCCAGCUUUGAAGCUACUCUAUUAGCUGUAUUUACAUGAGAGAAAACAAGACGGAACAAAACAGGCUAUUGGCUGACUAACAAUACAUAUAUAUUUGUGAGAUUCAUUUGAAAUUGUCCCUGUAACUGCUUCUUCGAUUUGAAACGAUCGUAAUUCUCUGAUCUUGAAGCAUGUUCAAGUUGGGGGCCAACAACCGAGUAUACCGAUCAAAAUAGAGAAGCUGUUUCAUAAGAAGGGCAAACUCCCUAGGAAAUCUGAGUCCAUAUGCUUCACUGACACGAAUCACAUCAAGAAAAAGUGCAUUCAUUUGCCUCUCAUCAACAACUACAUUGGCAGAAACAGCAGUUGCAUUUGUAGUAGUAUCUCGUGCUGUUGCAACAACUAUUUCCGUAUCCAAUUCCUGUAUUGAUGAAAAUAUCUUUUCCAAGUCUCUUGCAAAGGCAUUAACAUCAACAUCCUUGUUUGUAGCUCCCAUUUCAAUCAAGGCAGAUGCCAUUGACUCAUAUUCUUCAGAUGCAAGUGAUGCCAGAAACACUUCCAUAGCAGCCCAGGUUUUUGGGGAUAUGCGUCCUACAAUUCCAAAAUCUAGAAAGCCAAUACGACCAUCACGUAAUAACCACAAAUUGCCUGCAUGCACAUCUGCAUGGAAACUUUCACAUGCAAGCAAACUACCAAACCACACAUUAAGGGCUGUUAUAAGACUGGUCUCUGGACUAGAAACAAUUGAACUUAUAGAAUCCAGGUCCGUAAGAGGCACUCCAUAAAGACGUUCCAUGGUCAAAACUCGUCGGCUGCUGCAAUGCUUAUAGACUUUUGGAGCGGUAGCCUGCCUUGUAAGUCCCAUAGCUUCUAAAUAUCUCCUAAAGGACUCAAUAUUUGCAGCUUCCUUAUAAAAAUCAACUUCUUCAAGCAUGGAUUCCCUUAUUUCUUUAACAAUAGCAACCAGUGAUGCACGGCUGAGAUCAGGACUCAAGAACUCCAAUAUGCGAGCAACAAUGUAAACAAAGUUCAAAUCUGCCACUAGUAUAUUUUCUAUUCCAGGUUUGAGGACCUUUAUAACCACAUCUUCUUGGGAGCCUUUGAGCCUCGCCCCAUGAACCUGUGCUAUUGAGGCUGAGGCAAUUGGCAUCGGGUCAACAUAUUCAUACACACUUUCUAUUGGCCUUCCUAAUUCUUGGCGUAAGAUUGCUUGAAUUUCUUGGAAAGGCACGGCAGGAGCUCUAUCAAAACAGUUUUGAAAUUCUUCAACAUAUUCUGGUGGGAACAUUGUUGGCGCAGAUGCAACGAACUGACCUAAUUUAAUAUAAGUUGCUCCCAUACGCUCAAAUAAUCUCCUCAAAUACAGUGGAGAAAGUAAUCCAACUUGCAUUUGGGUUGGCAAUCCAGUAGAUGAAUUUGUUGACUUGGAUACAUCUCCCAGCCACUCGCCACCAACUCCAAGAAAAGCUUGAAUGCCUUGUGCCAGCCUUAGGGCUCCACGAGGACCAGUAUUAAUAGAUGUCUGGAUAAUAUCCUCCACCAGCUGGGGCAAGUUUCCAAUACUAUCCUGAAGGCGAGAAGAGAAACGAUCCUGUGCUUGAGAAUAUUGGGCAAAAAGGGUAAUUGCCUUUGAGCGAAAAUUGAGCUUCUUCGAUCUACUGCUUGCAACAGACAACUGAGGACGGGGAUAAGGAUUAAACAAUGAGAAACGACCACCUCGCAACGAUGAAAGUGAAAACAUCGCCAUUUCUUUCUUCUUGCGUGCGUUGCAGAAAUGGAACGAUGAUUUAC